This 492-nucleotide ribosomal RNA is filed under the name uncultured bacterium. RNAcentral's name for it is "partial 16S ribosomal RNA". It matches the Rfam family "Bacterial small subunit ribosomal RNA", at positions 29 to 507 of the family's 1533-position model. The record is from RNAcentral.
AGUGAACGCUGGCGGUAGGCCUAACACAUGCAAGUCGAACGGCAGCACAGUAAGAGCUUGCUCUUACGGGUGGCGAGUGGCGGACGGGUGAGGAAUACAUCGGAAUCUACUUUUUCGUGGGGGAUAACGUAGGGAAACUUACGCUAAUACCGCAUACGACCUACGGGUGAAAGCAGGGGAUCUUCGGACCUUGCGCGAUUGAAUGAGCCGAUGUCGGAUUAGCUAGUUGGCGGGGUAAAGGCCCACCAAGGCGACGAUCCGUAGCUGAUCUGAGAGGAUGAGAGGCCACACUGGAACUGAGACAAGGUCCAGACUCCUACGGGAGGCAGCAGGAGGGAAUCUUCAGCAAUGGGCGAAAGCCUGACGGAGCAACGCCGCGUGAGUGAUGAAGGUCUUCGGAUCCUAAAACUCUGUUAUUAGGGAAGAACAAAUGUGUAAGGAACUAUGCACGUCUUGACGGUACCUAAUCAGAAAGCCACGGCUAACUACGUG